CCGAAUAUCAAAAAGUUAUUGCCAUUUGAUAAGGAUCUGUUGGAAAGGAGGCUUGUUGCAUGGAAAGAAGUUGUUGGAACGAAUUAUGAUAAUUUCCCUAUUGGACUUAUUUGUGUUUGUUCUGACCACUUCCAAUCAGGUAAACCAGCUAACAUUUGCAAUGUAAACGAUAUUGCAAGCUUUAGAUGUUGGUGCUACUUGAUCUUCAUCAGCAUUCCAAGCAGUUUCAGUUCUACGACUGGGGAGUUCAUGCUCAGCAACAGCAAGUUGCAGCAAUGCACUAACAUGAAUGCAGACUCUCCCAAGCCUAUUUUAAUACAACAAUAAAUGAUUACUAGCA
This is a long non-coding RNA of Daphnia magna, 340 nucleotides long. RefSeq lists it as uncharacterized. The transcript has 2 exons. NCBI's taxonomy places the organism in Eukaryota, Metazoa, Arthropoda, Branchiopoda, Diplostraca, Daphniidae. The record is from RefSeq and is a predicted model, not a curated record.